GAUCUGAGAGGAUGUCCCCCACACUGGAACUGAAACACGGUCCAGACGCCUACGGGUGGCAGCAGUGAGGAAUAUUGGACAAUGGGCGAAAGCCCGAUCCAGCAACGCCGCGUGGAGGAUGAAGGCCUUCGGGUCGUAAACUUCUUUAGAGGGAGACGAGAAAGGACGGUAUCCCUAGAAUAAGCGACGGCAAACUACGUGCCAGCAGCCGCGGUAACACGUAGGUCGCGAGCGUUAUCCGGAUUUACUGGGCGUAAAGCGCUUGUAGGCGGUUCUGUAAGUCGGGCGUGAAAUCUCCGGGCUUAACCCGGAGUGGCCGUUCGAUACUGCAGGGCUUGAGGAUGCUAGAGGGUGGUGGAAUUCCAGGUGUAGUGUGAAAUGCGUAGAUAUCUGGAGGAACAUCCGUGGCGAAGGCGGCCACCUGGGGCAUUCCUGACGCUGAGAAGCGACAGCUAGGGGAUCAAACGGGAUUAGAAACCCCGGUAGUCCUAGCCGUAAACGAUGGACGCUAGGUGUUGGCAGAUCUAACCCUGUCUGCGCCGAAGCAAACGCGUUAAGCGUCCCGCCUGGGAACUACGGUCGCAAGAUUAAAACUCAAAGGAAUUGACGGGGACCCGCACAAGCAGCGGAGCGUGUGGUUUAAUUCGAUGCUACACGAAGAACCUUACCCAGGUUUGACAUACUAGUGGUAGUGAACUGAAAGGGGAACGACCCGCAAGGGAGCUAGUACAGGUGUUGCAUGGCUGUCGUCAGCUCGUGUCGUGAGAUGUUGGUUUAAGUACCCUAACGAGCGCAACCCUUAUUGCCAGUUACACGUAUCUGGCGAGACUGCCGGCCACAAGCCGGAGGAAGGCGAGGAUGACGUCAAGUCAGCAUGGCCUUUAUAUCUGGGGCUACACACACGCUACAAUGGGCGUAACAAUGGGAUGCCAAGCCGCGAGGCGGAGCCAAUCCCCCAAAUACGUCCUCAGUUCAGAUUGCAGGCUGCAACCCGCCUGCAUGAAGUCGGAGUUGCUAGUAAACGCGCGUCAGCUAUAGUGCGUUGAAUACGUUCCCGGGUCUUGUACACACCGCCCGUCACACUAUGGGAGCUGGUAAUACCUGAAGCCGGUAGCCUAACCGCAAGGAAGGCGCCGUCAGAGGUAGGGCUGGUGACUGGAGUGAAGUCGUAACAAGGUAGCUGUACGGGAUCGUGCGGCUGG
This 1202-nucleotide ribosomal RNA is filed under the name metagenome. RNAcentral's name for it is "bacterial SSU rRNA". It matches the Rfam family "Bacterial small subunit ribosomal RNA", at positions 289 to 1521 of the family's 1533-position model. The record is from RNAcentral.